RNAcentral lists this long non-coding RNA (1044 nucleotides) under Oryctolagus cuniculus (rabbit). Its description in RNAcentral is "lncRNA (ENSOCUG00000034934.1)". The record is from RNAcentral. Lineage: Eukaryota; Metazoa; Chordata; Mammalia; Lagomorpha; Leporidae.
AUGGGGCAGCCACGGGCUCUGCUCUGGCCAGCUGGAAUCGCUAGGCCACAGCCCCAGCGAGAACUGGCGACAGUUUUUGUUUGGUUUAGUCGGAAGCAGCCAAGGUGGUCCCCGGCUGACGUGAGGACAAGGCGGCGUCUGUCACACAGCAUCCGGGAAGGGGGGCUCUCGGUGGCCAAGGUGGAGGUGAUGCACAAGGAGAGGGAGAGGGAGAGCGGCCUGGGGGCCGGCCCGGGGCACCCUCCAGCCUGGUCCCCGGAAGAUGCCUGUGCAGCUGGCGUCGAUUCCGCGUCACACAGGAGGGGACCGAGGCUAAGAGAGGUGACCGGCCCAAGGUUCCAUGGCCAGCGAGUUGUCAGCAGGACUGUGGUCUUCUUCAGAACCCGGAUGCCUUCAUGCCCAGCUCCUGGGGACCUGAGGCACAGGGCCCGGCUCCAGGAGCCGCAGCGGGGUGGCCAGCCCGGGAGGCUGGAGUGGGGAUGGGGGGUGGGGGGUGGGGCGUGGCUCGAGAGUGGCCGCCGAUGGCCGGAGAGGCAAGGCCGGGCCGUUCUUCAGCGAGCUCCGCGCUCGGCCCGGGCUGCGCGCCCUGAGCAGGGUGUGGGCUGCUGGUCAGUGGCCCCGGGCCAUCCCUGCCUGCCAGCCUUGGUGUUUGCCGCUUGGCUGGGUACAGGCGAUGACUCACACUCCCCAGUCCCGCCUGGGCUCCCCACCCUCUGCCUGGGGCGCAGGCGGCUGCUGCCCGGUGCCCAGAGAGCAGCAGGGCUGCGUGGCCUGAGGGCUCAGGGCCUGGGAGGGGGGAUGGGGGCGGCUGAUGGUGCCUCCAGCAGCCACGUGACCCGGAAGCCCCCUUCUCUGACUGGCAGAGCAGCUCCCCCAGCCACCCGGCUGCUCCUCAGGCCCCACCUCCCAGGUCCCCGGCGCUGGCCUGCUCCCUCCUCCCCGGAAUCAAGCCUGCCUCUCAUCUGUGCCCCUACUCGGUUCCUCCCUGGGACACCCCCAGCCCCAGCCCGAUCUGCUAGAUCCGGUUUCUGUUGCUUGCAGUAA